UAACACGGAGAGUGCAAGCGUUGUUCGGAAUUACUAGGCGUAAAGGGCGUGUAGGUGGUUAGCUAAGUCAGAUGUGAAAAUUCCGAGCUCAACUCGGAACCUGCAUUUGAAACUGGUUAACUUGAGUGUAGGAGAGGAGAGCGGAAUUCCUAGUGUAGCGGUGAAAUGCGUAGAUAUUAGGAAGAACACCGGUGGCGAAGGCGGCUCCCUGGCCUAAAACUGACACUGAGACGCGAAAGCGUGGGGAGCGAACAGGAUUAGAUACCCGGGUAGUCCUGGCCGUAAACGAUGCAUACUAGGUGAUGGCACGGCCAUGAGCCGUGUCAGUGCCGUAGGGAAACCGUUAAGUGUGCCGCCUGGGAAGUACGGUCGCAAGGCUA
Molecule: ribosomal RNA, 380 nt
Filed under: uncultured bacterium
Lineage: Bacteria
Description: bacterial SSU rRNA
Rfam family: Bacterial small subunit ribosomal RNA
Source: RNAcentral